Ictalurus punctatus (channel catfish) is the source of this 2535-nucleotide long non-coding RNA. NCBI's taxonomy places the organism in Eukaryota, Metazoa, Chordata, Actinopteri, Siluriformes, Ictaluridae. The record is from Ensembl.
ACGUCUGGCUACACCCUGCACAAAUAUUUCAAUAUAAACAUAUUUAAUGUAUUUUAUGGUUGACUUCUUCUCUUAUACCAAGUGAAUAUCAACAAAGUGUACCAAAAUGUGCCAACGUGAUAAAAUAACCAGUGAAGACAAACACAAGGUAUGUGUAUAAACUGUUCACUAAGUGCACACAUGCCUUCAAAUUGUUGUUUUAAUCCGUGAGCUGCGCCAUGUGUGCUGCUCGGGUCAGGGUGUCUACGCCGUUGCCCUUUUAAGGACGCUGUGGGAAGCAGGAGAAUGACGUUUACAGGCGCGAGCCCGGAGUCGCUGCUCUCAGCGCCAGGCGGAGCGGCGAGAAACAACGCACGGUGAGUUCCACUGCUAACUUUCUCUCUUCAUCAGUCUUGCUCGUAUGUACGAGUCUGUCCCGAGACAGCGCUAUACGCUCGAACAACGACAACACUAUAAGGGGUUCGAGUGAACAGGAAUAGUCUCAAAACUCAGGAGAAUACGGUGUUAUUGGGGCGCGCGGUUGGCGCAAAGCUAGUGAGCUAAGGUAGCUAGCAGGCGCCGCUAGUCCCGUAUAAACACACCAGUGUUUGGUUAGCAAGCUAGCGCUAGUCGGGGUUAGCAAGCUAAAACUGAGACUGGCGCUUGUUCAAAUAUGGCGGUGGAGGAUGAGAUGCCGCUACACAUUUAGCUCCAACUUUCUGUGUCGUCUUCAGUGACAUAUCUUGUGUACUUGUGUAUUGUGGUCUAAAGCGUUACCGCGAGUUCACCACUGAAGGGAACUCAAACUCGCGGUAGCUACUCUGUGUCUGAGAGAGAGAGAGAGAGAGAGAGAGAUAUCGAGCCAAGUCAGCUAGCUAGUCUGCAGUCCAUAUUGAGUUCAGCGUUAGCCUGCCAGCUAACCUAGCAAAAACUUCUUUAAGCAUUUUUGUCUACAGCUAAUCAGGUUGUAAUGUUUAAAACUUGCUUUUUUUUUUAUUAUAUAUUAAUCCUUAGAUCACUUCUCAGAGACGGCCUUGCUAGUUAUCUAUUUAGCUUAGUUUUCGGUUAUAUAGACUGAGCGUGCUCGGGUUUUAGCACAGUUACAACAGGCGGUUAAUCUUAUGCCAGUUAUUUACAUAUGGCUGUAUCAUCUUGUACUGAACCAUCCAUGAGUGAUGUGCACACACAACUCUGGCUCAUAUGCACUGAAGUUUUGUAAUGAGGUAACGAGUUUCCCGAAUGCUAGCAGUGAUGCUAUGAUGGGCGUUUCUCAGUGUUUAAUUAAUCUUCUGAUUCUUCUCUUAUUAUUAUUAUUAUUAUUAUUAUUAUUAUUAUUAUUAUUAUUAUUGCCAGUCUGUUGGUGUUUAUUGAGACCUUGCGUUCUGUGUUAUUUGUUUGACCCAUCUUAUCCAUGCACACAUUGGACAAGUAAUGAAAACUUUUUUCAUUUGUAAAGGGAAGUUGGAGAAGUCACAAGUAAAACCAAGAUUUUUUAGACCUCUAAUAUGCAGCCAAACUGUUGUAUAGUGUUAUGAAUGCUUGCAAAAUUUGCAGAAGUAAAAUAAGAAGUAACUGAUUUGUACAAAUAAGACACUGGAAUGGUAGGAAUGCCCAUUUGUGGAGUGUAGUGGGUUUUUUAUUUUUUUAUUUUUUUUUAUUAUUUUUUUUUACUUUUCUGGACACAUCACCUUAUGUACAGAUGGUAAAGUUUUAACAAACAGAAACUUACACAGUUUACUUUUGUUUUUCUUUGGCCUUCUUUAACUCAAGCACAAAGCACUUUUUUUUUUGUUGUUUUAUUAAAAAAAAAUAUUCAGAAUAACAAUUCAUUACAAUUGCGAAACAAAUCUUCUGUCUGACCAUGUUAAAAUUAUUACUGAGCGUAAACAGCCUCUGACCUAUAACUACAUUUUCAGUGUUACUCAUCCAUUUAAAUAAAAACAUGUCAACAUGGUUAUUAAUACACUUUUGAGGAAGUUUCUUCUAUAUAGUUUUGUUUGAGUUAAACAAAGAGCUAAAUGUUUUUUAGGUCUUGCUUCGUGUCGCACACAUCUAGUCAUGUAUGCAAAUCUAGUCAUGGAUGGUGACUGUCAUGGUGUUAAUUAUGGUUUGGGUUUGGUUUCCUUACAGAGCUCAACCCAAAUCAUGGACUAAAUUGCCAAGCCAUUGAAGAUUCACCAGACAAACUCCUUAUUGGUAUUUAUUUUGGGUUUAAUCCAGGUGCGUCCAGCUGUGUCCUGUAUCUUUUUGUCUCAACACAACAUGCUGCGUGUUCUGGGUGCUGUAUGCUUGAAGAUGUCUAAUGCUGCUUGUGUGGUUGUUGGACCGUAUCUGCUUAGUAGUGUGUAAAUACCAGGAAGGCUCUCAAGCUCUUAGCAACCUCUCACAGUGGCAUUUCAUAAUGUUUACUGGUUACAAAGGCAGCCGAACAGAUGAUCCUGACAGCGGCCUCUCUGAUUCACUACCACCCCUUCAACUGUUCAUUACAGGUUUUCUUACCAGCAGUUAAAUUGGCACUAAAAGUUCCCGGGCUGUAGAGGUGUGUGCCGAGAGACC